CAAUAUGCAUGGAGAAAGAACAACAGCACAGCAGGAUCGAAAAUCAACGGCUUGACAUGAAUUAAAGAAGGUUCAGGCCGCUCAUUAACACUUACCUUAAUUAGGGGAUUUUCUUUCACUUCUUUUCAUUUCUAGAUAUGAUUGCCCGUGCUGUGCACGGGCCAAAAGGUACAUCAACACGUCAAAUGUAGGCACUAAAAUUCUAUUCACUCUAGUGAACUAUUUCUUUAUAAUUUAAUACAAUGAAGAAAAAUUGCAAAUGUCUCUAUGAUGCUCAGACGUGUCUUUCUCAUCCAAACACACCCAUGCUUGAAUUAAAUCACCACAUUUGCUUUCCAAAAGGCCGACUGAUAAUUUCAGAAAUGCUCAGUUGAAUAGUUUCAUAGACUGAGAACCUAGUCCAUCUGCUACAUAUAAACGCGUCAACCCCGUUGGCAGUGCUAUCACUGAAUUGGAUAUCAAGGAUACCAAAUCACACCAUUUUGUCUUUGUCUCCUGGUGGGAUAAAUCGAGCAUUAAAUAGAAUCCAAAAUCCCAGAAACACUUUCAGAAAUGGGAACAGUUGAAGUUCUUCCCCUUACGUUCAUAAUAUGGCCUGGUAGAAAAGCCUGUAAUUGGCCACGUUUGGCUUGCGCCAUUGUUCAAAGUCUUCCAUAGUGUUUUUAAUCAGUGAUCAAAGUCUUCCUUAUGACAUCAAUCACCACUGUUACUUCUGUCUUAGGCUGUAUCACUGGCGAGUAGUAGCAUUUUUAUGAAUAUGUCUUUAAAUCCAGCUAUGGACCCAUCAAAACAAAAAACUUUUGGUUAUGCUUCUCACUUCCAUGCCUACAACUAGCUCACCACUCACCACCUAAGAAACCCUCUUGUCACCAGACUGUACUGGAUAUCCAACAGUUAAAAUAAGAAAAUUUUAUUGAAAUUAGUAUAGGACAUCAAUGAGAAACUCCAAUGAACAUAAAAAGCGGAUGCAAUGCAAUAACCUUCAAGGAAUAUCAAAAUAUAUGUUAUGCCUUUUGUGAAUACCAAAUACAAAACAAGGAAAGAGAGAAAACGAGCAAUCUUCACCAGUAAAAAUAUAAAAUUAAGCAAAAGUAAUUGAUGAAAAUAAGUUGAGAAGAUGUUAGUGUUUGAUUCAAACUUGUACAAAUUUCUGAGAGGACAUUCAAAUUUCUUGUUGAAUGCAAAAGGAGGAAUACAGUUUAUAAUGCACUCAACUUUUCCUUCACCAUUUUACACUUACAUUCAGCAGUUCUGCAAAUCUAAAUUUCUGAGGUAAAAUAUUAAAUUCGUUUGUAAUGGCACAACCCCAUUAACAUGAAUUACUGUAAUAUUAUCACUUGUUUGCUUCAUCAAAUAACAACUUUCUUGCAAUUGCAACAUCAUAUGUAUCGUUUGUGUUACUGCUUUAUUCUCUCUCCCAUCUUCAUUUUACUUCUACCGAAUUUAUAUAUUACCUCUCAUUGAAUUAAAAGCUAUUAAAUAAAGUGCCAAAGGACUAAUAAGUACCGGAAAAAGAAUAAGACAGAAUCUAACAAGCCAGAAAAAAUAAACUUGAUCUCAACUUCUUUAGUAUCCUAACAUUGCAUAACAGAUGAAUAGAUCUAAAGCAAGGAUAAUACCUACUCCACUACCCUGAAGCCCCAGCUAAUCUCAAAUUUGACUUAAAAGAUAACGGAAGAACACCUUCAGAUCAAUUUUGUGGAUGCAUGUGCUCCAAAGUAUUUCAAUUUGUGUUAAAUCUGUCAAUAUUUAGAUUUAACCACACACUACGCAAAUAUUAAGGUUUAAAGUACUCCAAAGUAAAUCAUAUAUUAAGAUCAACAUUUUGCUUCAAGUGAGAUCAGAAAAGUUUAAAUCAUUUAUUAUUUUGUUCAUAUUAAAAUAAUUAUUUUUUCAGCAAAAAAACUUAUUGCACCAUUUGAGAUACUUAUUUAGAACCACACAACAUCGUAGCUUUGCAUCUCUGGGAACUAUAUUAUUUUUGUGUUAAUUUCACUAACACAAAUCCAUGUCAACCCAAGCUCAUUACCAAAAAAGAAAUAAUACAAUAAAGUAAAAUCACAAGUCCGCAAAUCUAAAGUCCAAAAUUUAGAUUUAUGUUUUCUCUUUGAAAAUUAUUUGUUAUGUUUAAUUACAUAACCAAAAUAGCAACUUCUAUAUAAAGACAUGACUCAUUAAUUUGUAAAAGCUCUUUAGCAUCAAGGAACUUACCACCAGACAGGUUUGCACCCCUCUUCUGCAACAAACUGAGUUCAUGGAAGACAGAUAUGCUCAUACUGGUUAUUUUUCUGGAGAAGGAAUAGAUAAGAACUUGACCCUAGGUAAAAAAAACACACACACACACAUUUAAGUUUUAGCAGGUGAAAGAUGAAAAAAUAUAACGAUUAAAGCACAUUUUCAGUGUCUCGCUAGGAGAUAAUACCUUUGGCCUCAGAAUAUCCAAACUGGAUUUUGGCAUGCCUUCAUGAUAUGCUUCCUUUUACUGAGGCAUAUGUCGAACAUGACAAACAAACUGGAAGGAUGCAUAAACUAAGACAACAAAAUAUUUGUAAUCCAUAUUUUCUCAGUAAUCUCAAGACCAACUUAAAAGGCCGUAAAUUAGAAUAUGCAUGUAGAAAAUCGGGUAACCAAAAGGGGAAAAAUAUUUAAAAAACUGUAAGAAAGAAAAUAUAUGAAAAUGGAAGAAAAGAACUCAAAUUAACACCCAACACUAACUAACAUUUAUAUAUUGCAUCGGAACAGAGAAAAUAGUAGUGCAACAAAGAAAAUAUUGAAUUGAGAAGGGGGGAAAGAGUUGAGUCUUACAUGCAAUAAAUACGUACAAAGUUGAGUCACUUUUAACAUUAUGUCUAUGGCGGACAGCAAAAAGUGUUUGAAGACUCUUCUAAAAUUGUCUUUGAUUAUGCUUAUCAUGGACGGUUGAAAAUUAGAAGCACGAAAAGCAACCCAAAGAAAAAGGACAAAGAUAAGGAAAAAUAGAUAGAAAUAGCUAAACAACACUCUAAUAGAAGAUCGGCGGCAUUACCUAGGAGCAAAGAGAUGGUCC
Molecule: long non-coding RNA, 3046 nt
Filed under: Nicotiana tabacum (common tobacco)
Lineage: Eukaryota; Viridiplantae; Streptophyta; Magnoliopsida; Solanales; Solanaceae
Description: long non-coding RNA (NTAB_LNC000906)
Source: RNAcentral